AAGCUGCCCUCAGGCAGGUAGGGAGCGCGCGACUGCUCCUUUAGGCCAGCUCUCUGGAGGCGGAAGCCGGGCCUGGACACCAGCCUCAAACUGGACGCUUAAGGCGCCACCGACCUGCGACGGGCAAGGGCUGCUUGGAGCCCGCGCGGCGGCAUGUUAGAAUUCCUCUUCCUUGUUGAAGUCCUAUGGUGAAAGGAAAUUCAUUUGGAGGUUUGGCGUGCGAAUCAAGGCCUAGGUUGUGUUCAAUGAAAAUGCUACAAAUCGAAUUUUAUAGACUGCUACAGGCACAAUAGUAACAUUGCCAGAUGGGAAUGGAAAAACUGUCAAGUGUAUAAAAAAUUAAGUUUUCCUUGAGGUUGGUGGUAUUCAGAUAAUUAUUUUUUCUGCUCCUUGCAACAUUAGUAAAAAACAUUUUAGUAUAAAGCAAAUAUACAACUAUUUACAUAAAAGAAAGAGGCAGAAUAGGAAAGAGAAGAAACAAGACUCCUCCAAAAAACUAUCAAAAAAAUAACUGAUUUAUUUGGUAUCCAACAAAUAACAAUAUUGCUGGACCUAAUGAAGAGAUGGAACGAUGUGGGGAAAGGGCCCUGAAAUCACGGUUGAUUGAAAAAAAUAAAUUACAUUAACUUUAUUUAUCACACCCACCAGCCACAUGUUAAGAUUAUUGCUGUUUGUGAGGACUAGUAAAUGCCUACUUAAGCUGUCGGUAACUAGAAAAGAACUUUCAGUGACUGAAAUGAGAAAAAAAAAAGCCACCCAAAGUCUUAUGUGUAAUUUCUAACGCUUGUAACAAAUACUUUGAAGACAGGAGACAUCCGAUUAGAAAGGUACAAAAAGUAAUAUAUUGAUCGUAUGCAGAAACUUUGAAAACUGGCAGCAAAAUGUGUUACUAAUUUUUUAUUUGAUGAUCAGAUGUGUGCUGAAAUUGAUACGUAUCAUUUGAUCAAAAGCAGCAAACUGGACUGAGCUAUGGAGGAAACAGUUCCAGGCAAUGUAGUCCUCAUUAUUCACAGAUUCCAUGUUCAUGAGUUCGACUACUCACUAAAAUUUAUUUGUAACCCUGAAAAUUAAUGCAUGCAGCAUUCAUGAAUAUUCACAGAGUAGCAAAAAAAUCUAACUUGCCUGACACAUUCUCAGCUGAGGUUAAACAAGGCUAUCCUCAGCUUUGUUUCACCUCGCAUACUAUAAUCAAAUGCGAUUUUCAUAAUAUAUAUAAUGUCAUGUUUUU
Rhinolophus ferrumequinum (greater horseshoe bat) is the source of this 1228-nucleotide long non-coding RNA. RefSeq lists it as uncharacterized. NCBI's taxonomy places the organism in Eukaryota, Metazoa, Chordata, Mammalia, Chiroptera, Rhinolophidae. The record is from RefSeq and is a predicted model, not a curated record. The transcript has 2 exons.